GGGGCUGAUUAGGAUUUGACAGAAUUAUGAAACUUAAAGAGCAUGUCAAGGUACGGUAGGCCUUGUAAAAAAACCGUGCAAAAGAUAAUUGCAGAAAAUCAAAAUUACGCUUUAGCAGCAUAAACAACUGUAUGAAGCUCUGUUUCUUAUUAUUUUCUCUUUAAUAAAAAGUAAACAGUCAUAAAUAAAGGGAUCAUAUAUAAUUUGUCUAAAAUUAUAUAGUAGGAUAUUAAGACUAGAUAAUAUAAAACUUUGUUUUAUUAGUUUGUAUUAUUAAAAUUUUAAAAUAAAACUAAACAUGUAGUGCUAAGAGUGUAAUAAUUUUGGACGGGGGUUCGAAUCCCCCCAGCUCCAGUA
RNAcentral lists this transfer-messenger RNA (357 nucleotides) under Enterobacteriaceae (enterobacteria). RNAcentral's name for it is "GCA-012562765 sp012568845 Standard tmRNA". It matches the Rfam family "transfer-messenger RNA". Rfam says of the family: Bacterial tmRNA, also known as 10Sa RNA or SsrA, is named for its dual tRNA and mRNA-like properties. Its role is to liberate the mRNA from a stalled ribosome. To accomplish this part of the tmRNA is used as a reading frame that ends in a translation stop signal. RNAcentral also lists the same sequence under 1 other name. Lineage: Bacteria; Pseudomonadati; Pseudomonadota; Gammaproteobacteria; Enterobacterales. The record is from RNAcentral.